Molecule: ribosomal RNA, 109 nt
Filed under: Zygnema circumcarinatum
Lineage: Eukaryota; Viridiplantae; Streptophyta; Zygnematophyceae; Zygnematales; Zygnemataceae
Source: RNAcentral
UUCCGGGCUUUAUGGUAAAACGUGCAAACACCCGAUCCCAUUCUGACCUCGCAAAGUGAAAUCGUUUUACGCCAUAUGUACUGAUUUGUCAAUUUCGGGAGACAUGGUC